ACGGGUCAUGAAGCCCAUAAAGGUCCAGUUUCAUCCUUUGCCAUUUUUGUGGUCUGUGUGUCUCCAGAGAAUUGUAGGGACAGAAAAAUUGUCCCCAAACCUAUCAAAUUGCCUAACCCAGGCCUUUGCACACUCAUUCCCAUUUUCUGUAUCAAAAGACACCGCCCCUCCCAUUUCCCUCAUGAAUUCACACUAAACUACAUUUUAUUUCAGUCUUUUACCAGUUACAUCCCCUAUUAUCUCCCUAUUAUUCCUCUGAUACCCCUCUUUCAGCAUCAGGUCUUGCUGCUCCAGACCAAAAUCCAUAAAAGCAGAAUACCCUCAAUCACCCUCCCCUGUCUGUCUAUUCCAGUGAGGAAUGAAGCAUUUUCCACAGCUUCUGGCAAUCUCCCUCACCCUGCCCUACCCCACAAAGAAUUUGACAACCUCUUGCAAGAUGUAUUGUGGUGCUUCAGUCAAGUGAAAGGAACGAUUGACGCAGGGGUCACAGAAGAGUCUGGAUGAAUGCAGGGAAAUCAUCACAGAAGCACAGACAAAAUUGUAACAUCCUCAUAGGAAGCAUCAAGGUAAAUUAACUCACCCCCCAAGCGUUUGAACAAUAAUGAGACAAAGAAAAAACAACGUAGCUGUAGCUUUUCCCAAGACUUAAGUCUCUUGAUUUCCGUAAAAUAAUGAUUGCAAUGUCUAAGAAACCAUACUUCAUAUUUGUAAGGAAUAUACUGUAUUUUAGUUACCGAGAAUUAAUUUUUUAAAUCCAAUCUCCCUGUUAGGUGUGGCUGGCUGCUUUCUGCUGUAGAAGCAGCUAGAAGCAAUAUGAGAUCUCGGGUAUGGCUAGUCUCCGACUCAUAGUGUAUUCUAGAAACUUAUUUCCCAUCUUGCAGUGAUGCAUGACCUUGAGUUAAGCCUGUAUCCCAUUUAGCUUUAUUCAAUUUGGGUAAAUGCUGCAGGAAUCAGCUUGGCUUAUUAGCCCUCCAGGUUGUUCUGGCUGUCUUUUCUGACCUCAUCAGGACUGACUAUGCCAACAGUAAGUUCCUCUUGUCAAAAAGGAUUGGCAGCAGUUCAUUUUCUCUGUGCAUAUGUAUCUUCAGAUAACUAUGCACUUCCUUAUUUUAUAAUUGAACUGCCAUUGUUACUGCAACUCAUUACUACAAAAAAAGGCCUUGAUACUAACCCUUGCUAAGUAGUGGGUGGCACAGGUAUUAAAAGGCAGAGUUCUGUUACUCUUUCUUCCUUUUUGGUUUGCAUUGGGACUCUCAUGUGACAAAAACACAACUGUAACAAUUUUAACACUUUUGACUGAAAAAAGCAAAAUGCAUUUGUAAAACAUUCAUAAUAAGACAUCCGAUUUCAAUAACUCUCAUUCCAGAAGGAAUACGACGGCAACAAUAAAAUAAUAGGCCUCCAUGCA
This 1408-nucleotide long non-coding RNA is filed under the name Pogona vitticeps (central bearded dragon). Its description in RNAcentral is "lncRNA (ENSPVIG00000007860.1)". The record is from RNAcentral. Lineage: Eukaryota; Metazoa; Chordata; Lepidosauria; Squamata; Agamidae.